This 253-nucleotide ribosomal RNA is filed under the name uncultured bacterium. Its description in RNAcentral is "partial 16S ribosomal RNA". It matches the Rfam family "Bacterial small subunit ribosomal RNA", at positions 524 to 776 of the family's 1533-position model. The record is from RNAcentral.
UACGAAGGGUGCAAGCGUUACUCGGAAUUACUGGGCGUAAAGCGUGCGUAGGUGGUUUGUUAAGUCUGAUGUGAAAGCCCUGGGCUCAACCUGGGAAUUGCAUUGGAUACUGGCAGGCUAGAGUGCGGUAGAGGAUGGCGGAAUUCCCGGUGUAGCAGUGAAAUGCGUAGAGAUCGGGAGGAACAUCUGUGGCGAAGGCGGCCAUCUGGACCAGCACUGACACUGAGGCACGAAAGCGUGGGGAGCGAACAGG